This is a long non-coding RNA of Heterocephalus glaber (naked mole-rat), 457 nucleotides long. The record is from Ensembl. Lineage: Eukaryota; Metazoa; Chordata; Mammalia; Rodentia; Bathyergidae.
GCAGAAACAGAAUAAACAGGUCUUGCCAAAUUCCCCCUGUAACCAGCCACCAUUAGCAUUAGAUCACACUGUAACCAGUUUUCUCUCUCUGCACUCUUGUCAUGAGGAUAACAAAGAAUGAAGCCAACAGGACAGAGUACUCCGAUCUUGGAAACUCAGCAGUGUUGAGCCUGUUUAGUACUUGGAUGGGAGACAUUUACAGUCCCUAGUCAGCUGGCUCCAAGAUAGAAAUGGCAUAAUAGAAGAGUCUAGUGGAGGAAAGCUGCUCACAUCAUAGUGGCCAGGAAACAGAGAAACGGGAAGAGCUGGAGAGAGAUGUCCCCAGUGACCCACCUCCAACAAAAUUCCACCUCCUAACAGCAAGUCAGCUAUAGUGCUGCCAUAAUCUAGUCACCUUCUAAAAGUCUACCUCUGAACACACAAGGUCCUUCAGGGUCAUCCUAGACCUAAACCAUAU